AGCCCCCUAGUGUAGUGGCCAAUCAUGAGAGGCCCUGGCCCUCUAGACGCAGGUUCGAAUCCUGCGGGGGCUA
Transfer RNA from Candidatus Nanosalina sp. J07AB43, 73 nucleotides. It matches the Rfam family "tRNA". From Rfam's summary of the family: Transfer RNA (tRNA) molecules are approximately 80 nucleotides in length. Lineage: Archaea; Methanobacteriati; Methanobacteriota; Candidatus Nanohaloarchaea. The record is from Rfam.